RNAcentral lists this long non-coding RNA (533 nucleotides) under Rattus norvegicus (Norway rat). RNAcentral describes it as "long non-coding RNA NONRATT013957". The record is from RNAcentral. Lineage: Eukaryota; Metazoa; Chordata; Mammalia; Rodentia; Muridae.
UAGAUGGUGAGACCGACUGGAAGCUGAAGGUGGCGGUGAGCUGCACACAACGGCUGCCAGCCCUAGGGGACCUUUUUUCUAUCAGUGCCUAUGUUUAUGCUCAGAAGCCACAACUGGAUAUUCAUAGUUUUGAAGGAACAUUUACCAGGGAUGACAGUGAUCCUCCCAUUCAUGAGAGUCUCAGCAUAGAAAACACAUUGUGGGCAAGCACCAUUGUUGCCUCAGAACCUGCCUAUUCACUCAGCAGUUUUGAAUAGGGUCUCAGUUUCCCCAUACUGCUGAGACAGUCUGGAACGAGGCAAUAAUGAAACAUCAGUUGGUGGCUAAGGUACUGUAAUAGGUGUUGUCAUUUAUACUGGAAAAGAGACUCGAAGUGUAAUGAACACAUCCAAUCCAAAAAAUAAGGUUGGUUUAUUGGACCUCGAACUCAAUCAGCUGACAAAGGCGCUAUUUCUGGCUUUAGUUGUUCUUUCUGUUGUUAUGGUAACCUUACAGGGAUUUGCAGGCCCAUGGUACCGUAAUCUUUUUCGGUU